This 497-nucleotide ribosomal RNA is filed under the name uncultured bacterium. Its description in RNAcentral is "partial 16S ribosomal RNA". It matches the Rfam family "Bacterial small subunit ribosomal RNA", at positions 28 to 507 of the family's 1533-position model. The record is from RNAcentral.
GAUGAACGCUGGCGGCGUGCCUAAUACAUGCAAGUCGAGCGAACGGACGAGAAGCUUGCUUCUCUGAUGUUAGCGGCGGACGGGUGAGUAACACGUGGAUAACCUACCUAUAAGACUGGGAUAACUUCGGGAAACCGGAGCUAAUACCGGAUAAUAUUUUGAACCGCAUGGUUCAAAAGUGAAAGACGGUCCUGCUGUCACUUAUAGAUGGAUCCGCGCCGCAUUAGCUAGUUGGUAAGGUAACGGCUUACCAAGGCAACGAUGCAUAGCCGACCUGAGAGGGUGAUCGGCCACACUGGAACUGAGACACGGUCCAGACUCCUACGGGAGGCAGCAGUAGGGAAUCUUCCGCAAUGGGCGAAAGCCUGACGGAGCAACGCCGCGUGAGUGAUGAAGGUCUUCGGAUCGUAAAACUCUGUUAUUAGGGAAGAACAUAUGUGUAAGUAACUGUGCACAUCUUGACGGUACCUAAUCAGAAAGCCACGGCUAACUACGUG